RNAcentral lists this long non-coding RNA (1070 nucleotides) under Macaca fascicularis (crab-eating macaque). Its description in RNAcentral is "lncRNA (ENSMFAG00000050447.1)". The record is from RNAcentral. Lineage: Eukaryota; Metazoa; Chordata; Mammalia; Primates; Cercopithecidae.
GGGGCUUUAGGGAGGCCUUUCCCAAGGUGGUGAUGACUUGAGAUGGGCAAUAGGAGGGUGUUAGGGUGAGGUAGGUGAGGUAGAUGGCAGACACUAGGGCAAUCCAAUCAGUAAGACGGCCUGAGGAAGUAGAGCUGCAUUUACAAAAAUGAGAAAUCCUAAGGGGACUGCUUUAGAAGCAGUCUGUGGUGAUUGGAGUCCAAGCUGUGAGACUUGGUGACAGAGAGUGCAGCCAGGUAGGUUGGCAAGACACAAGCCAAUCAUGAAGGGCCUUCUCCACAAGGAUUUUGACCCCCAACUUUAGCCUUGUGGGGGUGGUAGACCCCUGAGGGGUUUAAAGCAAGGCUGUGAUGUCACCAGCAUUGGCUUUUAAGUAGCUCGUUCAGGUGUUUCUCACCCUUCUUUCUUCUGUGUCCCCUCAUCUUCAUAUCUUGUGACACAUAAACCACCCGUGAUUAAAGUGGUGACACUAAAAACAGGAACUGGUAGUAAGCUGACAUUUACGCAUGCAUAGUUCAUCAUCUGCUGCCAUGUGACAAGUAGUUCUGCAGGUGCACUUUGUGGCCCAUUCUCUACCAUGGUGCUUGCUCCUCCUUGGUCUUUUCAUAGGGUCAGGAACACUGGGAGAGGAUACAGUGGGGAAGAUAUCCUUGGGGAGUUGGCCAUUCGGCCCCUGGAAGUCCCGGCAGACCAAGAAGUAGGAAGUGUUACAUGGAGCUCUCGAGAGCGUGUUGCUCUUUUACAACAAGGACUGACAGGCAAACCAGUUCUGAUUCUUGAGACUCAGAGACCCUCCAGUAGAUAACUGAGCAUUCCCCACCACAGCUACUCUCGUCAGAUCAGCCCCCUGAGGCCGCAGGACUAUAAGCCUAUAAGCCUAUAAGCCUGGGUAACUGCAUACUUCCUCAAUCAUUAUCACCAGGGAUUUCACCCUGCUUGUCUAUGGUAAGGAGGGCUGGAGGGCCCCACAUAUGAAAUUGAGCUUUCCUUUACCCUGCUUGGCCAGACCAGAGCCAUCUCAUAGCUCAAGCUUUCCCUUCUUGGUUCAGAGAGGCUGCAGGAGCCAAACA